Neofelis nebulosa (Clouded leopard) is the source of this 747-nucleotide long non-coding RNA. RefSeq lists it as uncharacterized. The transcript is spliced from 4 exons. Lineage: Eukaryota; Metazoa; Chordata; Mammalia; Carnivora; Felidae. The record is from RefSeq and is a predicted model, not a curated record.
CUCCAACAUGACCGCCAACCGCCUCUCCCGUUCCUCUUCCUUCUUGCGCAGGGGAGCCAGCCUGUGGAGGGGAAGGGAAUUCCCCCCAGAAGAGCCGCAUCCGAUGGCAGAUCCUGCAAAAAGUAUCCAAUACAUUUUGUAAUUUGGGGGAAAAUCGCGUAAAAUGGAGGACCAGAAUCAGCUGCCUGACACCUUGAACCCUGGACCAGAGCUGCCUGAACAUAACAUUCAAAUCAGGAAUAGCAUUGUUUGGAAGCACCCCAAAUGUUCUGCAGUAGAUGACUGCCGUGUAGCCCCAAGUUUCUGCUUUCAUCAGCAAUGGCGGUCUCCCUGUGUGUCUGUCUUCAGGCAGUGGUCUUCUUAGAAGCACACGAGUCCGAUGGAUCGGGACCCACCUACUCCAGUAGGACCUCGUCUUAACUAACUACACCUGCAGUGACUCUGUUUCCCAAAUAAGGUCACAUUCUGAGAAGGAAGGAAGGGAGCUGGUGGGUGGGCUGUGAGCUGUCCCAUGGAGAGACCCGUAUGGCAAGGAAGAGAGGGUGGCCCCUGGCCAAUAGCCCACAAAGAAUGGAAAUCUACCAGCCAGCACUUCAGUGAUUUUGGAAGCUGAUCUACUUUCGGUUGAGCCUUGAGGUGACUGCAACCUUGUGAGAAACCCAGAGCCAGAGGACCCAGUUAAGAUGUUCCUUGGAUUCCUGAACUUCACAGAAACUUCAUGAUAAUAAAUGUUGUUGUUUUAAGCCA